UCGGGAAUUUUGGGCAAUGGGGGAAACCCUGACCCAGCAACGCCGCGUGAAGGAUGAAGUAUUUCGGUAUGUAAACUUCGAAAGAAUAGGAAGAAUAAAUGACGGUACUAUUUGUAAGGUCCGGCUAACUACGUGCCAGCAGCCGCGGUAAUACGUAGGGACCAAGCGUUGUUCGGAUUUACUGGGCGUAAAGGGCGCGUAGGCGGUUUGUCAAGUCAGUUGUGAAAUCUCCGAGCUUAACUCGGAACGGUCAACUGAUACUGUCAAACUAGAGUACAGAAGGGGCAAUCGGAAUUCUUGGUGUAGCGGUGAAAUGCGUAGAUAUCAAGAGGAACACCUGAGGCGAAGGCGGGUUGCUGGGCUGAUACUGACGCUGAAGCGCGAAAGCUAGGGUAGCAAACGGGAUUAGAUACCCGAGUAGUCCCUGAGCGGGCUGGCAAGGCGCAU
RNAcentral lists this ribosomal RNA (447 nucleotides) under uncultured bacterium. RNAcentral's name for it is "bacterial SSU rRNA". It matches the Rfam family "Bacterial small subunit ribosomal RNA", at positions 355 to 825 of the family's 1533-position model. The record is from RNAcentral.